Molecule: ribosomal RNA, 1313 nt
Filed under: uncultured bacterium
Lineage: Bacteria
Description: partial 16S ribosomal RNA
Rfam family: Bacterial small subunit ribosomal RNA
Source: RNAcentral
CUACUUCGGUGGUGAGCGGCGAACGGGUGAGUAACACGUAGGUUAUCUGCCCAUCAGACGGGGACAACGAUUGGAAACGAUCGCUAAUACCGGAUAGGACGAAAGUUUAAAGGUGCUUCGGCACCACUGAUGGAUGAGCCUGCGGCGCAUUAGCUAGUUGGUAGGGUAAAGGCCUACCAAGGCGACGAUGCGUAGCCGACCUGAGAGGGUGAACGGCCACACUGGGACUGAGACACGGUCCAGACUCCUACGGGAGGCAGCAGUGGGGAAUAUUGCACAAUGGGCGCAAGCCUGAUGCAGCCAUGCCGCGUGUGUGAAGAAGGCCUUCGGGUUGUAAAGCACUUUCAGCGGGGAGGAAGGGCCACUAGUUAAUACCUAGUGGCAUUGACGUUACUCGCAGAAGAAGCACCGGCUAACUCCGUGCCAGCAGCCGCGGUAAUACGGAGGGUGCAAGCGUUAAUCGGAAUUACUGGGCGUAAAGCGCACGCAGGCGGUUUGUUAAGUCAGAUGUGAAAUCCCCGAGCUCAACUUGGGAACUGCAUUUGAAACUGGCAAACUAGAGUCUUGUAGAGGGGGGUAGAAUUCCAGGUGUAGCGGUGAAAUGCGUAGAGAUCUGGAGGAAUACCGGUGGCGAAGGCGGCCCCCUGGACAAAGACUGACGCUCAGGUGCGAAAGCGUGGGGAGCAAACAGGAUUAGAUACCCUGGUAGUCCACGCUGUAAACGAUGUCGAUUUGGAGGUUGUGCCCUUGAGGCGUGGCUUCCGGAGCUAACGCGUUAAGUCGACCGCCUGGGGAGUACGGCCGCAAGGUUAAAACUCAAAUGAAUUGACGGGGGCCCGCACAAGCGGUGGAGCAUGUGGUUUAAUUCGAUGCAACGCGAAGAACCUUACCUGGUCUUGACAUCCACGGAAGUUUUCAGAGAUGAGAAUGUGCCUUCGGGAACCGUGAGACAGGUGCUGCAUGGCUGUCGUCAGCUCGUGUUGUGAAAUGUUGGGUUAAGUCCCGCAACGAGCGCAACCCUUAUUACUAGUUGCCAUCAUUAAGUUGGGCACUCUAGUGAGACUGCCGGUGAUAAACCGGAGGAAGGUGGGGAUGACGUCAAAUCAUUAUGCCCCUUAUGACCUGGGCUACACACGUGCUACAAUGGAUGGUACAACGAGUCGCCAACCCGCGAGGGUGCGCUAAUCUCUUAAAACCAUUCUCAGUUCGGAUUGCAGGCUGCAACUCGCCUGCAUGAAGUCGGAAUCGCUAGUAAUCGCGGAUCAGCACGCCGCGGUGAAUACGUUCCCGGGCCUUGCACACACCGCCCGUCA